This 253-nucleotide ribosomal RNA is filed under the name uncultured bacterium. Its description in RNAcentral is "partial 16S ribosomal RNA". It matches the Rfam family "Bacterial small subunit ribosomal RNA", at positions 524 to 776 of the family's 1533-position model. The record is from RNAcentral.
UACGCAGGGGGCUAGCGUUGCUCGGAAUCACUGGGCGUAACGGGUGCGUAGGUGGGUAGGUAAGUCAGUGGUGAAAUCUUCAAGCUUAACUUGGAAACUGCCAUUGAUACUAUUUAUCUUGAAUACUUUGGAGGUAAGCGGAAUAUGUCAUGUAGCGGUGAAAUGCUUAGAUAUGACAUAGAACACCAAUUGCGAAGGCAGCUUACUACACAGUAAUUGACACUGAGGCACGAAAGCGUGGGGAUCAAACAGG